CAGAACAAAUACCCAGAAUCCUUUGCAUCCCUAACUCUUCCGGGCUACAAAAACACCCCUGCUACACCUAACUCCGCCCACCUCCCGAAUUCGGAGGUCUCAAGGUUGGCAAGUAUGCAUUGACGUCACUUAGCUUGAUGCAAGCAGAGAAACAUUUUGCCGCUUUUCCACGACACCCGCCCACGCUCUUCCUCCCUCCCUCCCUGCCUCCCUCGCUCGCCCGCCUGCUCGCUCCCUCCCCCGUUGUAAACAGUCCGGGCAGGGAAGACGAGCGUCCAAAGCACUCCGCCGAAGGAGCGAGCGACAAUACAAAAGUGUGGUGCACUGGACCCCAGCGCUGAUACUCCGACAGAGAGUCGCUGGGCGAAUCAGACGUGUAACACGUUAGUGGUGAUGUUAGCCCGUUCGGGGCUAAUUGUGCUACCGUAACUGUAAACUCCACGGCGAUGUUGGAAAUGACCUUUUCUUCUAUGAUAUUCAUUCUCAGAAGUGAUGACAAACAUUUUUGUUGAUACAGAGAAAGUUGCGGUGCACAAUGAACACAAUUUGAAACGUCAUUAUACAACUAGACAUGCUGAGGAGUAUGCAAAGUACCAGGGAGAUGAGAGAGUGAACCGGUUUGCAAAUUUUAAAACCAGUCUACUGAGGCAACAAGAUUUCGUCAAGAAAGCAAACGAAAAGAGCGAUGCAGCAGUCAAAGCUAGCUACAUGAAAUCUUUUCUUGCGGCCCAGCCUCACCCAGUUUCUGCAUCCAGUGGCCCCCAGGUAAAUUGAGUUUGAGACCCCUACUUUAAAUAGACACCCCUUUUAGACAAGUUUAUCUGCCAUCUCUUUUCUGCUCUGCCCCCCUCUCCUUUGUGGAGAGGGGGAGCACAGAUUCGGUGACCACAGAUGAGGCACUUGCUGUCCAAAGUCGGGACCCAGGGUGGACCACUCAUCUGUGCAUCAGUUGGGGACGUCUCUGUGCUGCUGACUUGUCUCCAUUCAAGAUGAUUUCCUGCUGGCCCCACUAUGGACUGGACUCUCACACUAUUAUGUUAGAUCCACUAUGGACUGGACUUUCACACUAC
Entelurus aequoreus (snake pipefish) is the source of this 1070-nucleotide long non-coding RNA. RefSeq lists it as uncharacterized. The record is from RefSeq and is a predicted model, not a curated record. Lineage: Eukaryota; Metazoa; Chordata; Actinopteri; Syngnathiformes; Syngnathidae. The transcript has 3 exons.